RNAcentral lists this transfer RNA (73 nucleotides) under Stegodyphus dumicola. Its description in RNAcentral is "tRNA-Met". It matches the Rfam family "tRNA". From Rfam's summary of the family: Transfer RNA (tRNA) molecules are approximately 80 nucleotides in length. The record is from RNAcentral. Lineage: Eukaryota; Metazoa; Arthropoda; Arachnida; Araneae; Eresidae.
GCCUUCGUAGUGUAGUGGUCAGCACGCUGGGAGCAUGUUCCAGAGGUCCGGGGUUCGAUUCCCGGCGAAGGCG